UACGUAGGGGGCAAGCGUUGUCCGGAAUUAUUGGGCGUAAAGCGCGCGUAGGCGGUUUUGCAAGUCGGGUGUGAAAUCCCCAGGCUUAACCUGGGAACUGCAUUCGAGACUGCAUUACUAGAGUAUGGGAGAGGGAAGUGGAAUUUCCGGUGUAGCGGUGAAAUGCGUAGAUAUCGGAAGGAACAUCAGUGGCGAAAGCGACUUCCUGGACCAAUACUGACGCUCAUGUGCGAAAGCGUGGGGAGCAAACAGG
RNAcentral lists this ribosomal RNA (253 nucleotides) under uncultured bacterium. Its description in RNAcentral is "partial 16S ribosomal RNA". It matches the Rfam family "Bacterial small subunit ribosomal RNA", at positions 524 to 776 of the family's 1533-position model. The record is from RNAcentral.